UGGGGAAUAUUGGACAAUGGGCGCAAGCCUGAUCCAGCCAUGCCGCGUGAGUGAUGAAGGCCCUAGGGUUGUAAAGCUCUUUCAACGGUGAAGAUAAUGACGGUAACCGUAGAAGAAGCCCCGGCUAACUUCGUGCCAGCAGCCGCGGUAAUACGAAGGGGGCUAGCGUUGUUCGGAAUUACUGGGCGUAAAGCGCACGUAGGCGGAUUGAUCAGUCAGGGGUGAAAUCCCGGGGCUUAACCCCGGAACUGCCUUUGAUACUGUCUGUCUAGAGGUCGAGAGAGGUGAGUGGAAUUCCGAGUGUAGAGGUGAAAUUCGUAGAUAUUCGGAGGAACACCAGUGGCGAAGGCGGCUCACUGGCUCGAUACUGACGCUGAGGUGCGAAAGCGUGGGGAGCAAACAGGAUUAGAUACCCCCGUAGUCC
Molecule: ribosomal RNA, 424 nt
Filed under: uncultured prokaryote
Description: bacterial SSU rRNA
Rfam family: Bacterial small subunit ribosomal RNA
Source: RNAcentral